Molecule: small nuclear RNA, 175 nt
Gene: U2
Rfam family: U2 spliceosomal RNA
About the family: U2 is a small nuclear RNA (snRNA) component of the spliceosome (involved in pre-mRNA splicing). Complementary binding between U2 snRNA (in an area lying towards the 5' end but 3' to hairpin I) and the branchpoint sequence (BPS) of the intron results the bulging out of an unpaired adenosine, on the BPS, which initiates a nucleophilic attack at the intronic 5' splice site, thus starting the first of two transesterification reactions that mediate splicing.
Source: Ensembl
AUCGCUUCUCGGCCUUUUGGCUAAGAUCAAGUGUAGAACUUACCUUAUGCUAAAAAAAAGUGAGAGAGUCUUUGGAAAUUCCUGAGAAGUCAUAAAACUUUUGCUUUGGUGAGAAUCUAGGCUGAAAGCCCUCUGUGGUACUUAUCACAUUACCAAGGGCAAUUGAGGAGUUGCC